RNAcentral lists this long non-coding RNA (3599 nucleotides) under Salmo salar (Atlantic salmon). RNAcentral's name for it is "lncRNA (ENSSSAG00000090160.1)". Lineage: Eukaryota; Metazoa; Chordata; Actinopteri; Salmoniformes; Salmonidae. The record is from RNAcentral.
CUCUGUCCCCCAGGAGAGGACGCAAGUCCCCUUCUCUGUCCCCCAGGAGAGGACGCAAGUCCCCUUCUCUGUCCCCCAGGAGAGGACGCAAGUCCCCUUCUCUGUCCCCCAGGAGAGGACGCAAGUCCCCUUCUCUGUCCCCCAGGAGAAGGCGCAAGUCCCCUUCUCUGUCCCCCAGGAGAAGGCGCAAGUCGUCUCCUUUGUCCCCCAGGAGGGGACGCAAGUCGUCUCCUUUGUCCCCCAGGUGGGGACGCAAGUCUUCUCCUUUGUCCCCUAGGAGGGGCCGCAAACUGUCUCCGUCUCCAAGACGAGGGCGGCGGUCUGAGUCCAGGCCUCGUGGUCGUGUCAGGAGGUCGAGGAUCAGGACCCCUCCCCCUCGUCGUGGUAGACCCUCGAGGUCCCGCUCGCCUGUGAGGCUGACUCGCCGCUCACGCUCCAAAUCUAGACGGCUCCGUCAUUCCCGGUCCCGGAGAAGAGGUCGGCGCUCCAAGAGCAGCUCCCCGUCUCACAGGAAGAGGUCCCCCCCCAGGACACGACGGUCCCGGUCUCCAGUCAGGAGAGGCAAGCGUACUCGCUCCCGCUCUGUCGUGAUCCUGAAGAGGAACAGGAAAGGCUCACUGUCCAAAUCCCCAACCGGCAAGAACACCAAGUCCCGCUCCAGGAGCUGCAGGAAAUCCAGUUCACCAGUACAGAAAAUACUUUCUAGAUCACCAAAGCGGAGCAGGACAAAGUCCAGAUCCCCAAGACGCAGUAAACCAUCAAGAUCACCAUCGCCAUGUAACAGGUCUCGUACUCCUAAAUCCAAAUCCCUGAAAAGAAACAAGUGUUCACUGUCAAAAUCGCCCAAAAGAGACAUAUCGAAAUCCAGGUCUGUCUUAAGCGACAGGCAAUCUGAGAGCGUAUCCCCAGAACGCUCAAGAUCCAGGUCUGCUGCCAAAGACCUGAAAUCGGUCAAACAUACUGCAGACAAGACUGUGAAUGAUGAAGCACCUACCAAGCCUGUUGGGGAGGCUGUAGCAGCAGCUGCAGCAGGGCCCUGGAAGCCCUUCCCUUGGGCUGCAGCCUCCAGUUCUAUCAUACAGGGCAAGCCAGUGGCUGGGCAGGCUGACGAGAGCAGCUCUGAGAUUCCAUCUGAAGACCAUGACUCCGCAGCAGAAUAUCCAAAGGGAGCAAGAAGCCCAACAAGCUCCUCUGAAGAAGAGCCAGAUGAGCAUGCUAUCUCCAGGUCUGUUUCACCAGAGACCGUUUGUGCUGAUCGUCGCUACAGGGCAUCAUCUUCUAAAUCCUCCAUCAAGAAGGCAUCAUCCUUGAAACAACGUCAGUCCUCAAAAUCAGCAUCUCCUGCCAGGAAGUCCCACUCACCUGCCGGCAGAAAGACGUCCACCUCUCCCUCACGGAGGUGCUCCCGGUCCAAGUCUACCUCUCCCUCUCAGUCCAAAUCUGCCUCUAGAAGGAGGUGUUCCAAGUCCCCAUCCAGGAAAAGGAAGUCUGUCUCCCCGCCUGCCAGACGGAAGAAGAGGUCCAAGUCCAGAAGUCCUGUCCGGCGCAGGAGAUCACGCUCUAAGUCACCAGCACGGCGCAGGAAAUCGCGUUCCAAGUCCAGGGCCAAGCACUCAAAGUCCCGCUCCCCGGCCAGAAGGAAGAGGUCCAAAUCCACAGACAGGAGCAAACGCCUCAAGUCUCGCUCUCCAGGCCGGAGGAGAAGGUCCGGGUCGCGACGGCGCCGACCCAUCAUGCGAAAUCGCUCGUUUGACCGCCGCGACCGAUGGAAACGGGAACCAAGCCAUUCACCCAUCCUCAUCCUCCGCAAGCGCCGGUCCACAUCUCGAACCCGCCGCAGUGCCAGCAAGACCCCUCCUCGUCUCACUGAGCUGGACAAAGACCAGCUCCUGGAGAUAGCGAAGGCCAAUGCAGCAGCCAUGUGUGCUAAAGCAGGUGUGCCCAUUCCAGAGAGUCUGAGACCCAAGGCCAUCCUCCAGCUUCCCCUGCCCAACCCAGCCCCAACCCCUCUGAAUCUGCCUCUUCCCCUGCCCUUGCCUCUCAACAUGCCCGGCAUGGGAAUUCCCAACAUGAACAUGCCCAACAUGAACAUGCCCAACAUGAACAUGUCCAAUAUGGCCAUGAGUGCUGCCAUGGCCAGUAUGAAAGCUGCCACCAUGACUGCAGCCCUCACCAACAUGGCCCAGAUGUCAAACAUGCCCCAGAUGGCUCCCCUCCCCACCAUCACCAACAAGCCCCCUCCUAGCCAGGCUCCCCAAACAACCCUCCCCCCCCUCAACCUGGACCACAUAGAGGAGGUGAAGAGGAAGGUGACUCAGCAGGCCAACAUCUACAGCAUCAAGGAGCUCACUGAGAAAUGUAAGAUGAUAGCGGCAAGUAAAGAGGAGAUGGCCGUAGCGAAGCCGCACGUGUCUGAUGACGAGGAUGAGGACAGGAAGCCCUGUGGCAAAAGCUUCUUAAGUUAACUUUCUUUGGGGCGCAUCAGAGGUACUCCCCAUGGAUACCAUCACCAGGUGGACAGAAGUCAAGGUUGUUGUGGUUAUAGAGCAGGAACCUCAUCAGAUACUGCCAGCCCUUGUUCUCUGGAUAAUCAUUCCCUCCCCAGCCCCUCCUAUCAGUAUUCUAGCUGUCUGGGGAAGUGUUUGAAACGUCAGUGAUACUGUGUCCCAUUGGACAGACUGGCCUGAGUGUUCUUGUGUGUCAUUGGACUGAUUGCAGUGUGUACAGUGUGGUUAUCCCUAGCUUCUACACGUUGCUCAGACAGAGCUCUCUGGACAAUGACUGAAGCAAAAUGAUAUAGGAACAUAUUUUCAAUGUUUUGUCAACCCUUUCUAAUGUUAAACUUCUGUUUCUUUUUUAUUGUGUUCAGUAAUAAUAUUUCCACCUCAUGGUUCCUUUAGUGACAUUUUAACCUGUAAUUAAGUGAACUGCUCGGUCUGCCCUCAGCACGCACGGGCACACAAAUACACACAUCAGUAAUAUGAUGGUCAGGUGUGUCUUUAGUGACGGGCAGACCGACCAGGUCUCUCCAUUGAGAAGACAAACUUAUCAGGUCUUUGUAGGAUCCACUCUAAAUGUUUUGUCACUUUUUCUCCAUAUAUUAACUGAUGUAAUCUUUAGCUAUUUUAAUGACAAAUACAUUUUAGAAUUUCCGUGAUCAGUAGUAGAAUAUUAUUUGGCUGGCUUUGUACAUAAUAUGUUGAUUAUUAAAGGAAACCAGUAAAUGACCUGUUGUUUAAUGUUCUUUAUGUAGGAGCCUAACUGUUAAGGUCCACUUUUUUUUCUAAAUCUUUACCUUGUGGUCAGUACUGCAGGGGUGUAUUCAUUACGCUGAUUCUGUUGCGAAACGUUUCUCCAAUAGAAACUUGUUUUAAUUGUUUGUAUUAAUUACUGCUGAUGUAUUAUAUAUUCUUUGAUUCUAAUCAGAGACUGAUUCAGACCUGGAACACAAGUUUUUUAGUUUGCUUGAACACUUGCUAUGUUUUGAAACAGUUUCUAUUGAACGAUACUUUACACCAAAAUGUUCUUGAACAGACUUUGAGGUACGUUUGCUCCCGUUUGAUGAGUGUGGUGAGGUGUGGCUUGAACCAAUGAGUGAC